RNAcentral lists this ribosomal RNA (253 nucleotides) under uncultured bacterium. RNAcentral's name for it is "partial 16S ribosomal RNA". It matches the Rfam family "Bacterial small subunit ribosomal RNA", at positions 524 to 776 of the family's 1533-position model. The record is from RNAcentral.
UACGAAGGGGGCGAGCGUUGUUCGGAUUCAUUGGGCGUAAAGGGUGCGUAGGCGGCGCGGUAAGUCGGGUGUGAAAUCUCGGAGCUUAACUCCGAAACUGCAUUCGAUACUGCCGUGCUUGAGGACUGGAGAGGAGACUGGAAUUUACGGUGUAGCGGUGAAAUGCGUAGAUAUCGUAAGGAAGACCAGUGGCGAAGGCGGGUCUCUGGACAGUUCCUGACGCUGAGGCACGAAGGUCAGGGGAGCAAACGGG